RNAcentral lists this ribosomal RNA (253 nucleotides) under uncultured bacterium. RNAcentral's name for it is "partial 16S ribosomal RNA". It matches the Rfam family "Bacterial small subunit ribosomal RNA", at positions 524 to 776 of the family's 1533-position model. The record is from RNAcentral.
UACGGAGGGCGCAAGCGUUGUGCGGAAGUACUGGGCGUAAAGCGCGUGUAGGUGGCCUGGCAAGGCGGGUGUGAAAUCCCGGAGCUCAACUCCGGAACUGCAUCCGAUACUGCCAAGCUCGAGUCUCGGAGAGGAUGGCGGAAUUUCCGGUGUAGAGGUGAAAUUCGUAGAUAUCGGAAGGAACACCAGUGGCGAAGGCGGCCGUCUGGACGAUGACUGACACUGAGACGCGAAAGCGUGGGGAGCAAACAGG